UCGCCGGACUUCCGCCUUCCCCUGGGGAUGG
This 31-nucleotide small RNA is filed under the name Bombyx mori (domestic silkworm). Its description in RNAcentral is "ovarian small RNA-28705". Lineage: Eukaryota; Metazoa; Arthropoda; Insecta; Lepidoptera; Bombycidae. The record is from RNAcentral.